This 299-nucleotide long non-coding RNA is filed under the name Brassica napus (rape). RNAcentral describes it as "long non-coding RNA (BNAP_LNC015227)". The record is from RNAcentral. Lineage: Eukaryota; Viridiplantae; Streptophyta; Magnoliopsida; Brassicales; Brassicaceae.
GUGGGAACUAUGAUCAAGAGUAUCUAAGGAAAUCCGACCUGGAUGCUCUCAUUAAGCUCUUCAAGGAGCAUGGUAACAUUUUUGGGUAUUCCUUUGGGGCUAGGGCUAUAGGGAAUGAUGAGAAUUCAACUAGAAUUGAUAGGAUGCAUGAAAGUGUGAUAGAGAUAAUCAACCAAUCUAGAACGGCUAGUCUUGCUAGGAAUGAUCAUGCAUUCAAACCAUCUAGUAUCCUUGCUCAUAUUGCUAGUUCACAUGCCAUUAAGCCUUUAGUAGUUGAUUCUGGUGCAUCUCAUCAUAUG